GGUCACAACACAAAUUGCAUGUCAUGCAAUAUUUAGAUGAAUACGCAAUCUGCCAAAGAGACUGUAUCAAUGCCAAUAGUGGUUACAAAAUCUAGCAGAUUAAUAGAUUUUAUUAGCCAAUAGGAAAGUCAUUGUCCCCUUGCCAUAUAUAGUUCCAUGGCUUUAUAAUCAAUGCUGUGUAUCUGGCUAGAGGUACAGGCUGGGGUUCGGAUGGCAAAG
Molecule: non-coding RNA, 219 nt
Organism: Pelobates cultripes (western spadefoot toad)
Lineage: Eukaryota; Metazoa; Chordata; Amphibia; Anura; Pelobatidae
Source: the annotation of a GenBank genome assembly